CAGUAGGGAAUCUUCCACAAUGGGCGCAAGCCUGAUGGAGCAACGCCGCGUGAGUGAAGAAGGUCUUCGGAUCGCAAAACUCUGUUGUUAGAGAAGAACACGAGUGAGAGUAACUGUUCAUUCGAUGACGGUAUCUAACCAGCAAGUCACGGCUAACUACGUGCCAG
This 167-nucleotide ribosomal RNA is filed under the name uncultured bacterium. Its description in RNAcentral is "partial 16S rRNA". It matches the Rfam family "Bacterial small subunit ribosomal RNA", at positions 352 to 511 of the family's 1533-position model. The record is from RNAcentral.